Capsicum annuum is the source of this 3225-nucleotide long non-coding RNA. RefSeq lists it as uncharacterized. The transcript is spliced from 4 exons. The record is from RefSeq and is a predicted model, not a curated record. NCBI's taxonomy places the organism in Eukaryota, Viridiplantae, Streptophyta, Magnoliopsida, Solanales, Solanaceae.
CAGUAAAUGGCCCCGUAAGUGGCUUAAAAAAACUUUGGGCCCUAAACAAAAUCUGGGUCGGACCUUAAAACUCUCCCACUUUAUUUUCUCUAUUAAAGGUAAACCCUUUUCCCUUGUUCCUCGCUUGCACAUAAAAGUUCAUCAAAGUAGGGCUGUUUUCACUUGUUCAUCUUCUAUUUGAAGAUUUCUCGAAUCCAGGGAACAAAAUUGGACAAAAAUUGAAAAUAUACGCUACGUGGGAUCCAAUUCUUUGGGAAAAACUGACUCACACUCAGAAGGGCACUUAUGAAUCCACUUACGGACCUUGUAGGAUGGCACAAAAAGUUGUGCAAAAGAAGGGAGUUCAGUCCAUGCUAGAGAUGAGUUUCCUGAAUGGAGUGUUUCUAUUAAGGAGUAUCCCAUGAGCCUGGAUAUUACACCAGUGGCCCCAUGGAAAAUACAAGGCCGAUCACAGAGACAGACUGCAUCUAUAGCAGUUGUGGUUAAUUAAGGUACUCAGCCCACAUUGUCACAGGCACUACAGACAGAGCCCUAACUUACACUAGCACACUUCAUUCGGACUGAGAUUUGGAUGAGGAAUCUGAGUUAGUCACCAUUAUACACUCCCAGUUUGAGAAAGGAUUGGAUGAGUCAAAUGUUGGUUUAGAGGAGGAGGUUUAGUUAGGAUCAGGUACCGAGUUUGGAAAGGAGGAGGAUGCAGUCGACUCCCAAUCUAAAGAGAGGUCAGAGACUGUAUCUGAUUUUGACAGUGAGUCUGUAUCAAGCUCAGGGUGUUCAUGCAUCAUAGGUCCUAUAGGAUAUAUCAUCUUUAUCAGCUCAGGUCAUCGAGGCUACUACUCAGGGCACUCAUCCUACUACUUUCUCACCUGUUGUACUGAAGUCUAACUACACAUAUGUCUUGGUCAUACCUAUAGUUGAGAUUCCUUUAAGAUGGUGCAUAUAGGGAAUGCAAUAGCUUUAUGAAAGAGAUAGCUUCAUCAAAGAGCAGGGUUGCUCGAGACGCAGUAUAAUAGGAAAGGUCAGGAUAAAGUUGACUAGGGUAGCAGGAGCUCCAGACAUGUAGGCUUCUUUUAAAAGAUAGUGACUGGGUGUAUGACCAAGCCUUUAGGUUCAUAUAUCUUGCCUCUUGUUCGAGAGUUUUAUAUAUCCACGAUAUGCAGAGUUACCACGGCUGAGGGUAGAGCGGUUAAGCAGAACCAGCUGACCCACACUUUGGUCAUGGGGUUAAAGUUGACAAUUUUUAGAAGACUGACCACCGAGUGUUAUUUUGUCCAAAUUAUUUGGGAUCGGCCAUGACAACUGAGCUCGAUUAUCGCAUAUGUAUUGCGGGGAGUACGCACACUAUGAAGACCCAGAGCACAGAGCACUUCAACUGGAUUUGGCUAGAUUUAUAGCCAUACAGAUAGUUGAGUUGGGCGUUGAUGCCUCAUGGGUUGAGAAAAAGGAAGAGAUCAAGAAGGUCUCACUGUACUUUAUAGUAAAGCGUUGGUUAGUAGUGGUACGACAUAGAUUGAGUUCAACUUCUACGAAUAAUAUACUCACAUGGGACAGAACUGCUUUGGUUGCCAGCCUGAUUGUUGGAUAUGAUAUAGAUUUUGCAAGAUGGAUCCGAACGUAGAUCCACAAGAAGGCAUUUGGUGAAACCGCCAUCUUCACCUUUCCUUGUUUAAUUCAACAGUUAAGAGAUGCAGCUAGAGUACUGACUAUUUAAGAGAUAUAUCAGUGGAUUAAAGUGACCCACAUGGCAGACAUUAUCUUGAUUAAGGAUAUGGUGAAUCUGAUCCUUGCAAAUAAAGUGUAGCCACCUUCUACUUCUAGUAUGACCCAUUUUGAGAGGCCCACUAUUAGGGUCGAGCCUAUUAAGAGGCUUGGUAUGAUUAUUGAUAUUUAGAUGGAUGGUCAAAGAGCUGAACCCAUUACUACUAUAGGUGAGGGGGACACAGGCACAUCUAUACCAGCCUCGAUGUCUACUCCAGCACCAGUCAUGGCUACUACUUUGCCCCCUCUCCUGAUAUCUACUAGGAUUGUGGAAGUGUUGUGUGAGUUCUUACAAUAGAUGGUUAAGCGACAGCAUGAGGUGACUGAGCACCUCACCCAGAUAGAGACUCAGUUAUCCACAUUAUUCAGGUAAAUUCAGUCAUGGCCCGGACUACUUUAGAGACUUUUAAGGCCAAAUUUAACAAGAGGAGGAUGGAAACUAUGGAGGUGUAUACUAGAGAUUUGCAUGCACGUAUAGAUAGCUUUGAGACUCAAAUAAGUGCAUAACUUUGUGAGGUCCAUACACCGAACUUGUCGAGCCUACAUGAGAAGACUGUAACUCUAAGUUUAAAGGUUUGAUCAUUAUCUGAGAUCCAUAUUCUGGUAGUCUCUCGAGUUGUUCCAGCUUUUAUACAGCCUCUACCCCAAACUCCUACUAUGGUGUUUGAUCUUUUUGUGAAUGAUGAUGUGGCCCCAGUUUUUGGGGCCAAGAGAGGUCGUAAGAAGGAGCUACAGGAUUCGACUAUGGAUUAUCAACAGGCUCUAACAAGAGCAGCUCAGGAUUCAAUUAUGUCAGCUUUGACUGAUAAGCAGAAACGUGUUGAGAUGGCAGCCGACACUUUCUCCUAUUGCGUACCACCACCUCCUCCUCUAAUUGAGCCAUGAGAUGCCUCAAAUAGGGACGAUUCAGAUUCAAACACCUAAAGUGUCCCAUGAAAACAGGGCUAGGAGCAAAAGAAGAGAAAAUGAGUUGAAGUGAUGCAGAGGCACACACUUAUGAACCAACUUACAGGCCAUAAGUGGGACUUAGGUCCAUUGUAGGUCCUUCUAUAAGUGACAGAAGAAAAGUUUUAAAAGUUGGGUGUUGGAUCUGAUACCUAUGAAGGCCAUUUACGGGGCGUAAAUGGCAUCUACGACCCUCGUAGGUACCCCCAUAUGUGGAUGAUAUGAAAGCUGGAGUUUCCUAUGACACCUAUGAACCCACCUAGGGUCCAAGGUAAAAUUACCUACAACCUGUAAGUAGAACCGUAGGUAGGUGCUGACUUAGUUUUCUUAUUUCAUUUUUGUUAGGAUUUUUUAGGUUUCUUAUAUAUCCUAUAAAUACCUCAUUGAUGUUUUGUUAUUAAUUUACGCAAUUUUUAUACUUACAACAUUAUAUUGAUUCUGGGAUAUACUUUUGAUCUUAGAAUCCUUGUUCUUGAGUUUUACGAUUGGAUAUUAAUUUGAGAUUUUGAUUUUCAUUCUUAA